GAACCUGCGGAAGGAUCAUUACCAAUGUAUGGGAUGUUUUACAUGACUCCCAAGUAAACACAUUCCUGUGUGUUAUCCUCUUUUUUUUUUAAGCUCUAUGUCAUUUUCUUGUCUGAGAAGGCCAUGUGCCAUAACCUCGAAAAAUGUUAAAACUUUCAACAACGGAUCUCUUGGCUCUCGCAUCGAUGAAGAACGCAGCGAAAUGCGAUAAGUAAUGUGAAUUGCAGAAUUCAGUGAAUCAUCGAAUCUUUGAACGCACAUUGCGCCCUUUGGUAUUCCUUAGGGCAUGCCUGUUCGAGCGUCACUAACAACAAUUUCACAGGGAAAUGUGGUGUUGGCCGAUGUGUGUCUAGCACUUUGCUGUGCUGGUCUCACUCGGCUGAAAUGGAUAGGCCAGAGAAGGUACAACUUGGCAAUAGACUCUCAGAGUAUUCACAAAUGCUAAACUAGUCUUUCAC
RNAcentral lists this small RNA (458 nucleotides) under fungal sp. sasa-2. Its description in RNAcentral is "eukaryotic LSU rRNA". The stretch from base 151 to 304 matches the Rfam family "5.8S ribosomal RNA". The record is from RNAcentral. Lineage: Eukaryota; Fungi.